UACGUAGGGGGCUAGCGUUGUCCGGAAUCAUUGGGCGUAAAGAGCGUGUAGGCGGCCCGGUAAGUCCGCUGUGAAAGUCGGGGGCUCAACCCUCGAAUGCCGGUGGAUACUGUUGGGCUAGAGUGCGGAAGAGGCGAGUGGAAUUCCUGGUGUAGCGGUGAAAUGCGCAGAUAUCAGGAGGAACACCAAUUGCGAAGGCAGCUCGCUGGGACGUAACUGACGCUGAGACGCGAAAGCGUGGGGAGCAAACAGG
RNAcentral lists this ribosomal RNA (253 nucleotides) under uncultured bacterium. RNAcentral's name for it is "partial 16S ribosomal RNA". It matches the Rfam family "Bacterial small subunit ribosomal RNA", at positions 524 to 776 of the family's 1533-position model. The record is from RNAcentral.